CCUCGGGAGGCACCAGUCGAGAAUCUUCCGCAAUGGACGAAAGUCUGACGGAGCGACGCCGCGUGCGGGAUGAAGGCCUUCGGGUUGUAAACCGCUGUCAGUGGGGAGGAAAUGCAUCAGGGUUCUCCCUGGUGUUUGACCGAUCCGCAGAGGAAGCGCAGGCUAAGUUCGUGCCAGCAGCCGCGGUAACACGAACUGCGCGAACGUUAUUCGGAAUCACUGGGCUUAAAGAGUUCGUAGGCGGCCUUUCAAGUCGGGUGUGAAAUCCCUCGGCUCAACCGAGGAAUUGCGCCUGAUACUGUUGGGCUUGAGGGGGAUAGGGGUGAGCGGAACUGAUGGUGGAGCGGUGAAAUGCGUUGAUAUCAUCAGGAACACCGGUGGCGAAGGCGGCUCACUGGAUCUCUUCUGACGCUGAGGAACGAAAGCUAGGGGAGCGAACGGGAUUAGAUACCCUCGUAGUC
Molecule: ribosomal RNA, 461 nt
Filed under: uncultured bacterium
Lineage: Bacteria
Description: partial 16S ribosomal RNA
Rfam family: Bacterial small subunit ribosomal RNA
Source: RNAcentral